UCCCGAACCCGGAAGUUAAGCCCUUCAGCGCCGAUGGUACUGCAUGGGAGACUGUGUGGGAGAGUAGGACACCGCCGGAC
This 80-nucleotide ribosomal RNA is filed under the name Actinomadura latina. The record is from RNAcentral. Lineage: Bacteria; Bacillati; Actinomycetota; Actinomycetes; Streptosporangiales; Thermomonosporaceae.